This 19-nucleotide unclassified non-coding RNA is filed under the name Mus musculus (house mouse). RNAcentral's name for it is "oocyte_clustered_small_RNA6043". Lineage: Eukaryota; Metazoa; Chordata; Mammalia; Rodentia; Muridae. The record is from RNAcentral.
CAAACACAUCAGUAGUAAG